AACUAAAUACUUUUUUUUUUUUGAGAGAUAGGUAGCACGCUACCCGCUUCAUUUAUUUCAUUUAGAAAUAAACUUAGCUGAAAAUGUGAAUUAACUAGGAUUCGAACUUGGGUCUCGGGUACCAACCACCAAACCCUUUGCCACUUGCUGACGAUCGGUAUGCCUCUAACUAAAUACUGAAAGGAUAUAUGCGUCAUAUAGGAUACGCUCAACUAAUU
Molecule: long non-coding RNA, 218 nt
Filed under: Ananas comosus (pineapple)
Lineage: Eukaryota; Viridiplantae; Streptophyta; Magnoliopsida; Poales; Bromeliaceae
Description: long non-coding RNA (ACOM_LNC043555)
Source: RNAcentral